This 374-nucleotide ribosomal RNA is filed under the name uncultured organism. Its description in RNAcentral is "bacterial SSU rRNA". It matches the Rfam family "Bacterial small subunit ribosomal RNA", at positions 526 to 896 of the family's 1533-position model. The record is from RNAcentral.
CGGGGGGAGCAAGCGUUGUUCGGAUUUACUGGGCGUAAAGGGCGCGUAGGCGGCGCAACAAGUCACUUGUGAAAUCUCCGGGCUUAACCCGGAGCGGCCAAGUGAUACUGUCGUGCUAGAGUGCGGAAGGGGCUACUGGAAUUCUCGGUGUAGCGGUGAAAUGCGUAGAUAUCGAGAGGAACACCUGCGGCGAAGGCGGGUAGCUGGGCCGACACUGACGCUGAGGCGCGAAAGCCAGGGGGAGCGAACGGGAUUAGAUACCCCGGUAGUCCUGGCCUUAAACGAUGGAUGGCUUGGUGUCCGGGGUUACAUAGUCCCCGGGUGCCGGCGCUAACGCAUUAAGCAUCCCGCCUGGGGAUACGGUCGCAAGACUG